UCUAUAGCUCAGUCGGUAGAGCAUGAGACUCUUAAUCUCAGAGUCAUGAGUUAAACCCCAUGUUGGGGAA
Molecule: non-coding RNA, 70 nt
Organism: Podarcis lilfordi (Lilford's wall lizard)
Lineage: Eukaryota; Metazoa; Chordata; Lepidosauria; Squamata; Lacertidae
Source: the annotation of a GenBank genome assembly